GGAGGGGGUUAGCGUUGUUCGGAAUUACUGGGCGUAAAGCGCACGUAGUGCGAUUAGUAAGUUAGAGGUGAAAUCCCAGGNCUCAACCCUGGAACUGCCUUUAAUACUGCUAGUCUUGAGUUCGAGAGAGGUAAGUGGAAUUCCGAGUGUAGAGGUGAAAUUCGUAGAUAUUCGGAGGAACACCAGUGGCGAAGUCCGCUUACUGGCUCGAUACUGACGCUGAGGUGCGAAAG
RNAcentral lists this ribosomal RNA (233 nucleotides) under uncultured marine bacterium pM-68. RNAcentral describes it as "partial 16S ribosomal RNA". It matches the Rfam family "Bacterial small subunit ribosomal RNA", at positions 527 to 759 of the family's 1533-position model. The record is from RNAcentral. Lineage: Bacteria; Pseudomonadati; Pseudomonadota; Alphaproteobacteria.